AACGCGAAGAACCUUACCUGGGCUCGAAAUGUUAUGGACCGGGGUAGAAAUAUCCCUUCCCAGCAAUGGGCCGUAAUAUAGGUGCUGCAUGGCUGUCGUCAGCUCGUGUCGUGAGAUGUUGGGUUAAGUCCCGCAACGAGCGCAACCCUUAUCUUCAGUUGCUACCAUUUAGUUGAGCACUCUGACGAAACCGCCUCGGAUAACGGGGAGGAAGGUGGGGAUGACGUCAAGUCCUCAUGGCCUUUAUGUCCAGGGCUACACACGUGCUACAAUGGCCGGUACAAACCGUCGCAAACCCGUGAGGGGGAGCUAAUCGGAAAAAGCCGGCCUCAGUUCGGAUCGCAGUCUGCAACUCGACUGCGUGAAGCUGGAAUCGCUAGUAAUCGCGGAUCAGAAUGCCGCGGUGAAUACGUUCCCGGGCCUUGUA
This 427-nucleotide ribosomal RNA is filed under the name uncultured Acidobacterium sp. RNAcentral describes it as "bacterial SSU rRNA". It matches the Rfam family "Bacterial small subunit ribosomal RNA", at positions 958 to 1385 of the family's 1533-position model. The record is from RNAcentral. Lineage: Bacteria; Pseudomonadati; Acidobacteriota; Terriglobia; Terriglobales; Acidobacteriaceae.